Molecule: ribosomal RNA, 298 nt
Filed under: Lactiplantibacillus plantarum
Lineage: Bacteria; Bacillati; Bacillota; Bacilli; Lactobacillales; Lactobacillaceae
Description: Lactobacillus plantarum partial 23S ribosomal RNA
Rfam family: Bacterial large subunit ribosomal RNA
Source: RNAcentral
AGGUUAAGUUAACAAGGGCGCAUGGUGAAUGCCUUGGCACUAGGAGCCGAUGAAGGACGGGACUAACACCGAUAUGCUUCGGGGAGCUGUACGUAAGUUAUGAUCCGGAGAUUUCCGAAUGGGGCAACCCAGCAGUUUUAAUCAACUGUUACCACUAGAUGAAUUCAUAGUCUAGUUGGAGGUAAACGCUGUGAACUGAAACAUCUCAUUAGCAGCAGGAAUAUAAAGAAAUUUCGAUUCCCUAAGUAGCGGCGAGCGAACGGGGAACAGCCCAAACCAAAGUGCUUGCACUUUGGGG